UCCCUGAGUUGGAAUCAGGCGGUUUGUCGUCUUUUCGGCUUUACACUUGUCACGCGCGUGAGGCUCCGAGCACCUUCUGCGGCUCGAUGUGCCAUUGCUCUCCGUCACCUAAGCGCCCCACGUCCAGAGAGAUCACUCAGGCUGCCCGGUGGAAGAUGGAUGAGAGGAGGGGAGGCGUCGGACCAGCGAGGAGGCGAUUUCAGGCAAGCAGAAGCAGAACGCACCUGUCUGCACAAGAGCCCUUGUGUUCACUGCUGGCCGCCUUGUGUGAAGACAUGAUGGGGUCACCUCGUCAGGUGGACACACUGACCCACACACACUCCCUCCCCUGGCGCCAGCCUUUCUGGUCUGGUUAUGAGUUUCCUCUGUGACCAUAAUGACUCUGCCCUUCGCCUCGUUCCUCCUUGUCUGCCCUCUCUCUACAAAUAGGAGGCUGCCUGCGCUUCCUCGUCAUCAGACUGAAUAUUCUGCAAAUUAAUAGCCGUCCUGUCACAAUUAGCCUCUCCUGUUGGGCGCCUCUCAUGCCUCUCCAGCUUCUGCAUCUAGAAGGCACAAGACACACUCCCCAAAUGGAAGAUCCAAGCUCACAGACGCGCCAUGCAGGGCACAGACCGUCGGUGACAGCAAAACAAGGUCCCUCAAGUGCCGUAGCUCGAGGCUCAGGAACAGAUGACAGCACAAAAUAUCUUCGGGAUAGAGUAUUUACAAAACUGCUUUAAAGGAAUUGCAUGUCAUUAAUCACCCGUUCUUAAAAAUCAGUCUUCUCUUAUUUGUUCUAAUUUAGCUAAAUGGCCCUGGAAAGGCAGACCGUGGCUUGCUCACUAAACGCCAGUUGAAAAUCAUAAUGUUCCAUCCAAUUUCCAACUCACCCUGUGCUAUGGAGUUUUUUCUCCUCAUAUCUCUCCAGUCCCCAAAUGCUCCAGACGUACGAGAGUCUUCAUUUGAUUCAUUCUAAUAACUUUUUUCAUCAACAUGACUUUGGAGAAGGCAUGGGUACUGCAAAUUAAAUAUUAUUUAUGACUUUAAUUUGUGUCCUAUUUGGCUGUUACA
Molecule: long non-coding RNA, 1050 nt
Organism: Talpa occidentalis (Iberian mole)
Lineage: Eukaryota; Metazoa; Chordata; Mammalia; Eulipotyphla; Talpidae
Exons: 3
Source: RefSeq, a predicted model, not a curated record